AUUGAACGCUGGCGGCAAGCCUAACACAUGCAAGUCGAACGAGUGGCGGACGGGUGAGUAAUGUCUGGGAAACUGCCUGAUGGCGGGGGAUACCUACUGGAAACGGUAGCUAAUACCGAAUACCAUCCGAUGUGACCAGAUGGUAUUAGCUAGUAGGUGGGGUAAAGGCUCACUUAGGACACGCUCCCUAGCUGGUCUUAGAGGGUGACCAGCCACACUGGAACUGAGACACGGUCCAUACUCCGACGGGAGGCAGCAGUGGGGAAUAUGGCACAAGGGGCGCAAGCCUGAUGCAGCCAUGCCGCGUGUAUGAAGAAGGCCUUCGGGUUGUAAAGUACUUUCAGCGGGGAGGCGUUACCCGCAGAAGAAGCACCGGCUAACUCCGUGCCAGCAGCCGCGGUAAUUC
This 406-nucleotide ribosomal RNA is filed under the name uncultured bacterium. Its description in RNAcentral is "partial 16S ribosomal RNA". It matches the Rfam family "Bacterial small subunit ribosomal RNA", at positions 30 to 526 of the family's 1533-position model. The record is from RNAcentral.